AAGCCAGGGUCCGCCCUGCAGUGUCCAGCUCUGUGACAGUGGCUGCUGGAGUGGAUCUCACGGCCUCCACUUCCGCCCCUGGACGGCAGGGAGGUUCCCAGGUGAGCUCAGGAGCCCUUCCAGCUGCAUGAGCAUCGCAUAGGCCACCUGGGCAGAGGAGACACUGAUGAGCCUCACGUGGCUCUGAUUAUCUUGACUUUGGCUGAUCCUGGCUGUGCUCUGCUGAGACACCUCUGCUUCAGAUAUCUCUCAUCUCCCUCCUUGGAAUACCUGGAUAUCCAGGCCAGAUGUCUCUCAUAGUUAUGCCAGAAGAAUGAGAGAGCUAAUAGAACUGUACAAGACCCCCCUACAUCUCAAAGCAAGUCA
Long non-coding RNA from Cavia porcellus (domestic guinea pig), 366 nucleotides. RefSeq lists it as uncharacterized. Lineage: Eukaryota; Metazoa; Chordata; Mammalia; Rodentia; Caviidae. The transcript has 2 exons. The record is from RefSeq and is a predicted model, not a curated record.